Molecule: long non-coding RNA, 1872 nt
Organism: Zonotrichia albicollis (white-throated sparrow)
Lineage: Eukaryota; Metazoa; Chordata; Aves; Passeriformes; Passerellidae
Source: Ensembl
AAAUCGGGAUUCAGGAUAAUCCAGGGAUGUGGGGAUGGGGAAUCAGCCCCUGGGAAUGUGGAGGCUUGGGAGCUGCGAGGGAUCCAUGGAAAUCAAUCAGGAGAGGAAAAGCGGGAAGCGGGAGAGGAAAAACGGGAAGUGGGAUCCCUGGGGAUCCAUGGGGAUCCAUGGGAUCCAUGGGGAUCCAUGGGGCAGGAAAAGCGGAUGCAGGAGCAGCCGAGGAUGCUGGGAUGGGAACGGAGAUUCCCGAGGAGGCCCCGGAUCCCAGCCCGGCCUGGCCGCUUUUAUCCCGGGAUAUUUUUAUCCCUGGCACCGGAGCUGCUGCCUGGGGGAGACGGGGAUGGAUCCGCCCGGGAUCAUCCAGGGACCGUCCCAGGGAUCCGGAUCCAUCCAGGGACCGUCCCAGGGAUCCAGACCCACCCUGGGGUUAUCCCAUGGAUCCGGAUCCAUCCAGGGACCAUCCCAGGGAUCCAGAUCCAUCCCAGGGAUCACCCCAAGGACCUGGAUCCAUCUCAGGAUUAUCCUGGGAUCCUCUCAGGGACCUGGAUCCAUCCCAGGGACCAUCCCAUGGAUCUGGAUCCACCCCAAGAUCAUCCCAAGGAUCUGGAUCCAUCCAGGGAUCAUCCUGAGCCCUUCCUGUGGAUCUGGAUCCACCCUGGGACCAUCCCAGGGAUGUGGAUCGGGAUCUGCUCUGGGAUCGUCCCAUGGAUCCAGAUCCAUCCUGGGAUCCUCUCAGGGAUCCAGAUCCAUCCCAGGGAUCAUCCCAGGGACCAUCCCAUGGAUUCAAAUCCACCCCAAGAUCAUCCCAUGGAUCCAGAUCCAUCUCAGGAUCAUCCUGAGCCCUUCCCAUGGAUCCAGAUCCAUCCAGGGAUCCUUUCAGGGAUCCAGAUCUAUCUUGGGAUCAUCCCAAGGAUCCGGAUCCAUCCAAGGAUCAUCCCAGGGAUGUGGAUCCAGAUCUGCUCUGGGAUCAUCCCAUGGAUCCGGAUCCAUCCUGAGACCAUCCCACAGAUCCGGAUCCAUCCCGGGAUCAUCCAGGUACCAUCCCAUGGAUCCAGAUCCAUCCUGGGAUCCUCUCAGGGAUCCGGAUCCAUCCCAGGGACCAUCCCAGGGACUAUCCCAUGGAUUCAGAUCCAUCUCAGGAUCAUCCUGAGCCCUUCCCAUGGAUCGAGAUCUGCCCUGGGAUCAUCCCAUGGACCCAAAUCCAUCCUGGGAUCCUCUCAGGGAUCCAGAUCCAUCCUGGGAUCAUCCCAGGGACCAUCCCAGGGAACCAGAUCCACCCUGGGAUCAUUCCAGGGAUCCAGAUCCAUCCCAGGGAUUAUCCCAAGGAUCUGGAUCCAUCCCAGGAUCAUCCCAUGGAUCCAGAUCCAUCUCAGAAUCAUCCUGAGCCCUUCCCAUGGAUCUGGAUCCACCCUGGGAUCAUGGAUCCAGAUCUGCCCCAGGAUCAUCCCAGGGAUCCAGAUCCAUCCCAGGAUCAUCCCAUGGAUCUGGAUUGAUCCCACUUGGAUUGGAUCAGGGAUUGGGAACAGUGGGGGGAAAUUCCAGGAUCCAUCCCAGCAGGGAAUCUGGGAUCCCUUCCAGCAGGAAAUCCAGGAUCCAUGGGAUUCAACCCAGUGGGAUUCGCCAGGAAUCGGCCCCGCCCUGCUGCUAAUCCCAGGAAUAAAUAACCGGGAAUAAAUAAAUAAUAAUCUUCCCCAAAAUCCCCUUUACCUUCCCCAAAUUCCCCUUCAUUCAGCCCCAAAAAUUUCCCUUUCUUUUUCCCCAAAAUUCCCUUCAUUUUCCCCAAAAUUCCCUUAAUUUUUCCUUUUCAUUAGACCCCAACAUUUCUUUAAUUUACCAAAUAAAAAUUCCUUUCAUUUGUCCCUAAAUCCCCUU